UUUAUUUCUCUCGUUUGCAGCGAUGGAGGAAGCCAAUCAGCCACUUGUGUCAAACCUGUAGUCUUCUGGUGCAGACAAAGACAUUGAUCAGCCCAUUAAAAGUGUUAAAGAUUUCGCUAGAGAAUUUUCGAUUAAGUCGAGAAAGUUAUGGUACCUUGUAGGUCCUGCCGUCUUGACCUCUCUUUGCCAAUACUCACUUGGAUCAAUUACUCAAACAUUUGCAAGACAUGUGGGCACCAUUCAAUUUGUAGCUGUUUCGAUUGAAAUGAAUGUCUUUGCUGGUGUUGCUUUUGGAAUCAUGGUAAUUCUACCGUAUUAAGUUUGUGUCUAUUCUGAUAUCAUGUUGAACCAAUUUCAUCUAAAACUUUAUUUCUCGCGAUUGUGAUGGCUGUUAGGUAUGGGAAGUGCCCUAGAAACACUUUGUGGACAAGCUUAUGGAGCUGGGCAACUGGAUAUGCUUGGGGUCUACGUGAAAGAUCCUGGCUUAUUCUCAACAUUGCAGCAAUCCCAAUUUUAUUUCUAUACAUUUUUGCAGAGCCGAUUAUGAAACUAAUAGGUCAAACUCCUGAAAUAUCCAAAUGGGUUGGGAUUUUUUCUCUGUGGAUCAUCGGAUGAUCCCAGAACUUUUUGCUUAUGCGUUCAAUUUUCCCAUUCAAAAGUUCUUACAAUCUCAGAGCAAGAUAGUGGCCAUGGCGGCGAUAUCAGGGGCGGUGGUGAUUUUACAAGCUUUUUUUUAGCUGGCUUUUGAUGCUGAAGUUGAAGUGGGGACUGGGCGCAGCAACCGGGAUGCUCAACUUCUCAUGGUGGCGCAACUCUUGUAUAUUUUUAGUGGGACUUGUGGCGAGGCUUGGUCGGGGU
RNAcentral lists this long non-coding RNA (858 nucleotides) under Olea europaea subsp. europaea. The record is from RNAcentral. Lineage: Eukaryota; Viridiplantae; Streptophyta; Magnoliopsida; Lamiales; Oleaceae.